AUUGAACGCUGGCGGCAAGCCUUACACAUGCAAGUCGAACGGCAGCGCGGGAGCAAUCCUGGCGGCGAGUGGCGAACGGGUGAGUAAUAUAUCGGAACGUGCCCUAGAGUGGGGGAUAACUAGUCGAAAGAUUAGCUAAUACCGCAUACGAUCUACGGAUGAAAGUGGGGGAUCGCAAGACCUCAUGCUCGUGGAGCGGCCGAAAUCUGAUUAGCUAGUUGGUAGGGUAAAAGCCUACCAAGGCCACGAUCAGUAGCUGGUCUGAGAGGACGACCAGCCAAACUAGGACUGAGACACGGCCCAGACUCCUACGGGAGGCAGCAGUGGGGAAUUUUGGACAAUGGGGGAAACCCUGAUCCAGCAAUGCCGCGUGUGUGAAGAAGGCCUUCGGGUUGUAAAGCACUUUUGUCUGGAACGAAACGGGCCGAGCUAAUAUCUUGGCCUAAUGACGGUACCGGAAGAAUAAGCACCGGCUAACUACGUGCCAGCCGCCGCCGUAA
RNAcentral lists this ribosomal RNA (500 nucleotides) under uncultured bacterium. RNAcentral's name for it is "partial 16S ribosomal RNA". It matches the Rfam family "Bacterial small subunit ribosomal RNA", at positions 30 to 523 of the family's 1533-position model. The record is from RNAcentral.